AGCUUGCUAUUUUUAUGAAGAGCGGCGAACGGGUGAGUAACGCGUGGGAAAUCUGCCGAGUAGCGGGGGACAACGUUUGGAAACGAACGCUAAUACCGCAUAACAAUGAGAAUCGCAUGAUUCUUAUUUAAAAGAAGCAAUUGCUUCACUACUUGAUGAUCCCGCGUUGUAUUAGCUAGUUGGUAGUGUAAAGGACUACCAAGGCGAUGAUACAUAGCCGACCUGAGAGGGUGAUCGGCCACACUGGGACUGAGACACGGCCCAGACUCCUACGGGAGGCAGCAGUAGGGAAUCUUCGGCAAUGGGGGCAACCCUGACCGAGCAACGCCGCGUGAGUGAAGAAGGUUUUCGGAUCGUAAAACUCUGUUGUUAGAGAAGAACGUUAAGUAGAGUGGAAAAUUACUUAAGUGACGGUAUCUAACCAGAAAGGGACGGCUAACUACGUGCCAGCAGCCGCGGUAAUACGUAGGUCCCAAGCGUUGUCCGGAUUUAUUGGGCGUAAAGCGAGCGCAGGUGGUUUCUUAAGUCUGAUGUAAAAGGCAGUGGCUCAACCAUUGUGUGCAUUGGAAACUGGGAGACUUGAGUGCAGGAGAGGAGAGUGGAAUUCCAUGUGUAGC
Molecule: ribosomal RNA, 617 nt
Filed under: Lactococcus garvieae
Lineage: Bacteria; Bacillati; Bacillota; Bacilli; Lactobacillales; Streptococcaceae
Description: bacterial SSU rRNA
Rfam family: Bacterial small subunit ribosomal RNA
Source: RNAcentral